RNAcentral lists this long non-coding RNA (559 nucleotides) under Triticum aestivum (bread wheat). Its description in RNAcentral is "long non-coding RNA (TAES_LNC022526)". The record is from RNAcentral. Lineage: Eukaryota; Viridiplantae; Streptophyta; Magnoliopsida; Poales; Poaceae.
UUAACAGGUGUUAAAGUGUGCAUCUGUAUUCUGUAAACCUUGUGGCAUGCCAUAGUAAUAAGCUGAUAGCAAACUUCAGGCAACAUAACUCGUUUUUUUAUGAUACUACAGGCAACACAACUCUUCGACCAAAGCUACAAAACGGCUUAUCUCUGUUUUUUUCACCAAAACCUUAUAUUCCACCCAUCUCAGGGAACUUGGGCACAUCUCUGGGUGCGCAAUUAAAGGAGACAUGGAAGCAAAACAAACAGCUAUUUCCAAAAGAAUUAAUCUCUCCACCAAAACUGUUGUUCCAGGCAUCACGUGACAGUGCACAACAAAGGGAGAAACACAGACAGAUAUUCCCGAAAAUUCUCUCCUCCAAAAAAGUUGUUCCAGGCAUCUCAGGGAAUUUGUGUGAUGGUGCACAACAAAAUGAGAAACACAGCAGCAACACGGACAACUAUUUCCCAGAGAAAUAAACUUGCCGCAAAAAAUGUCGUUCCAGGCAUCUUGAGUAACUAAUACGGUUAUUUCCAGCAAAAGUCCUCCUGAGUUGUAUGUCACAAGAAUCCCGCAG